CCCUUAGACGUUCUGGGCCGCACGCGCGCUACACUGACGAAGGCAACGAGCUUUCCUUUACCGAAAGGUACGGGUAAUCUUUUGAAACUUCGUCGUGCUGGGGAUAGAUCCUUGCAAUUAUUGAUCUUAAACGAGGAAUUCCUAGUAAGCGCAAGUCAUCAACUUGCGUUGAUUACGUCCCUGCCCUUUGUACACACCGCCCGUCGCUACUACCGAUUGGAUGGUUUAGUGAGAUCCUCGGAUUGGUCCCGGAGCGGCCUCUGGUCGUGCCGGAGUGCCGAAAAGAAUGUCGAACUUGAUCAUCUAGAGGAAGUAAAAGUCGUAACA
RNAcentral lists this ribosomal RNA (327 nucleotides) under uncultured eukaryote. RNAcentral describes it as "partial 18S ribosomal RNA". It matches the Rfam family "Eukaryotic small subunit ribosomal RNA", at positions 1470 to 1796 of the family's 1831-position model. The record is from RNAcentral.